GGAGAUGUAGCUCAGUGGUAGAGUGCUUGCCUAUAAUGUAUGAGGCACUUGGUUCUAGUCCCAGUAUCACCA
This 72-nucleotide transfer RNA is filed under the name Heterocephalus glaber (naked mole-rat). It matches the Rfam family "tRNA". From Rfam's summary of the family: Transfer RNA (tRNA) molecules are approximately 80 nucleotides in length. Lineage: Eukaryota; Metazoa; Chordata; Mammalia; Rodentia; Bathyergidae. The record is from Rfam by way of RNAcentral.